Small nucleolar RNA from Ornithorhynchus anatinus (platypus), 139 nucleotides. NCBI's taxonomy places the organism in Eukaryota, Metazoa, Chordata, Mammalia, Monotremata, Ornithorhynchidae. The record is from RefSeq and is a predicted model, not a curated record.
CACCUCUCAGGAUCGCACCUGGAGAGUUUCCAAAACUCUACCAGUCUCAACUACGAGAAGGAGAGUCAAGCCAGAGGCAUAUCCAUUCCAUUCCUAGCUUGGGCAGUGGCUAGCAAAAGGAAGGGAAUCUGCUAUAAGU